GUUGACCUCGGAUCAGGUAGGGAUACCCGCUGAACUUAAGCAUAUCAUA
This 49-nucleotide ribosomal RNA is filed under the name Cladosporium tenuissimum. Its description in RNAcentral is "partial 28S ribosomal RNA". Lineage: Eukaryota; Fungi; Ascomycota; Dothideomycetes; Cladosporiales; Cladosporiaceae. The record is from RNAcentral. RNAcentral also lists the same sequence under 7 other names.